Molecule: long non-coding RNA, 1041 nt
Organism: Ictalurus punctatus (channel catfish)
Lineage: Eukaryota; Metazoa; Chordata; Actinopteri; Siluriformes; Ictaluridae
Source: Ensembl
CUCAGACAAAUGGCCAAAUAAAACUGUGUGUGUGUGUGUGUGUGUGUGUGUGUGUGUGUGUGUGUGUGUGUGUGUGUGUGUGUGUGUGUGUGUGUGUGUGUGUGUAGACCUGGUUGUGUCCUGAAAUAAUGUUACUGUCUGUGUGGAAUUUCAUAUGUUGUCCUCGGGUCUGUGUGGGUUUCUUCCGAAUUCUCUGGUUUCCUCCCACCUCCCAAAAACAUACCAGUAGGUUGAUUGACUACACUAAACUGGCUCUUUGUGUGAAUGAGUAUGAGUAUGUGAAUGUGUGUGCAUGAUGCCCUGCAACGGACUGGUGUUCCAUCCAGGGUGUUCCUGGGAUAGGCGACCCUGACCAAGAUAAAGCAGUUACUGAAGAUGAGUGAAUGAAUUAUUAGGUCAAGAUCUUGCACUAUCCUGAAAGAAAACUAAGAAGUUCCUGGAUGCCUGCUGUGUCACAUUUGCACAACAGCUAAAAGCAGAAGACAUUUGACUUCUACAAUGUAUGCAUCUCCAUGAGAUCCUCCAGUCAUAUUGGCAGAAAAGAUGCAGACAGGUUUUAGGAGGAAAUAUUUCUACUUCCAAGAGUCAACUGCAAAUUCAAGAUACUGACUGUGUGCUGUUUCACUGGCCCUCAAUACAACACGUCAUCAGAUCCUUGCGUUCUAUGAACUGGAACUUCAUCUUCAGGACUCUACAUAAUGCACUUUAUAUCCUAAGCACACCUGGGCGUUUUGUCUUGUACAGGGGUGAGUUUGUUUUUGGAGCUCAGGAAGGUGAUUCUUUUCUCCCUUCACUGUCAACACGUCCACUAAAGACGGUGAAGGAAUGCAGGCUGUAAUGCUGAAUGCCACAAUACUCAGUGCUCUUGCAGCACACGUGAGUGGUGGAGUGAUGCCUGAACAAAGUUUUUUGUAACACACCUGUGUGAGACAUGGCCAUCACCUGGUGAACUCCUGACCUGUAUAUCAAGAUAGCAGGAGAAGAGGGCAGAUGUGAACAGUAGGGUCUGUAAAAUCAUUUUGGGUUCAUGCUUAGGCUUUU